RNAcentral lists this ribosomal RNA (467 nucleotides) under uncultured bacterium. RNAcentral describes it as "partial 16S ribosomal RNA". It matches the Rfam family "Bacterial small subunit ribosomal RNA", at positions 28 to 507 of the family's 1533-position model. The record is from RNAcentral.
GACGAACGCUGGCGGCGUGCUUAACACAUGCAAGUCGAACGGAAAGGCCCUGCUUUUGUGGGGUGCUCGAGUGGCGAACGGGUGAGUAACACGUGAGUAACCUGCCCUUGACUUUGGGAUAACUUCAGGAAACUGGGGCUAAUACCGGAUAGGAGCUCCUGCUGCAUGGUGGGGGUUGGAAAGUUUCGGCGGUUGGGGAUGGACUCGCGGCUUAUCAGCUUGUUGGUGGGGUAGUGGCUUACCAAGGCUUUGACGGGUAGCCGGCCUGAGAGGGUGACCGGCCACAUUGGGACUGGGAUACGGCCCAGACUCCUACGGGAGGCAGCGGUGGGGAAUAUUGCACAAUGGGCGGAAGCCGAAGGCAGCAACGCCGCGUGCGGGAUGACGGCCUUCGGGUUGUAAACGGCUUUCGCCUGUGACGAAGCGUGAGUGACGGUAAUGGGUAAGAAGCACCGGCUAACUACGUG